RNAcentral lists this ribosomal RNA (406 nucleotides) under uncultured prokaryote. RNAcentral describes it as "bacterial SSU rRNA". It matches the Rfam family "Bacterial small subunit ribosomal RNA", at positions 355 to 776 of the family's 1533-position model. The record is from RNAcentral. RNAcentral also lists the same sequence under 1 other name.
UGGGGGAUAUUGCACAAUGGGCGAAAGCCUGAUGCAGCGACGCCGCGUGAGGGAAGACGGUCUUCGGAUUGUAAACCUCUGUCCAUGGGGACGAAGAAAGUGACGGUACCCGUGGAGGAAGCCACGGCUAACUACGUGCCAGCAGCCGCGGUAAUACGUAGGUGGCGAGCGUUGUCCGGAAUUACUGGGUGUAAAGGGAGCGCAGGCGGGGGAUCAAGUCAGGCGUGAAAACUAUCGGCUCAACCGGUAGUGGCGCUUGAAACUGAUUUUCUUGAGUGAGGUAGAGGCAGGCGGAAUUCCUAGUGUAGCGGUGAAAUGCGUAGAUAUUAGGAGGAACACCAGUGGCGAAGGCGGCCUGCUGGGCCUUUACUGACGCUGAGGCUCGAAAGCGUGGGGAGCAAACAGG